Molecule: long non-coding RNA, 3537 nt
Organism: Dromaius novaehollandiae (emu)
Lineage: Eukaryota; Metazoa; Chordata; Aves; Casuariiformes; Dromaiidae
Exons: 2
Source: RefSeq, a predicted model, not a curated record
GGCACCUCACGGGAAGUGUAGUCCUCCUUGCGGCUUCCGCCGCCCACAGCGCGAGGUGCCAGAACGACAUUUCCCAGAAGCUCCCGCGCGGGUCGCCUCCUCUUCAGCCCCGCCCACUGCGCGCCUCGCCCCACCUCCUUUCCCCGCUCCUGCCGCAGCGUGGGGGGUCUGGAACGUUCGCCGCGGGCCGGCGCGAGCCGCGGGGUGGGGGGUGCGGUGCAGUGCAGUGCGGUGCGGUGCGGUGCGGUGCAGUGCAGUGCGGUGCAGUGCAAGGCAAGGCAAGGCAAGGCAAUGCAAGGGUGUUGACCUGAACUUAUUCUGAGCAAAGCACCACGGGUGUGCGUUUGGCCCCUGAGCUCUGGAGACAACCGCAACUGCUCUGCAGAAGUGGUUCUUUCUGAACUGAUGACAUGUGGAAGCCCCAAAGCUCUGCAUCACGUGGCUAGAGAGAAAGAAGAAUAUGAACUCCCAUUGUGCCAAAAUGGCUGAAAAAUGUGUUCAGAAAGAUAAGCAGAGAGCGUUGUCUCAGCUGGGGCCCCCUCAGUUCCACUAGCGCCGGAGCAGAUCCGAGAGUAAAAGGGAGGGUGUGAGCGCAAGCAGAAGAGCGUGCUGGUGAAUGAUGAUGUGUACACUCAGGCCAGCUCUGGGUGAUGGGCUGGUGGAAGCAUCAGCAGUGUUUUCACACCUGUGCUCACGUGAGUGUGCAUACUCCCUUAUUACGAUGGUAGGACUGCUGAAGGAAAAUGCUUAUGUCAGCACAACCCUCUUUUAACUGUGUCACGAGUCUCCUCCAGCGUUUCUUCUAGAGGAUAUAAAUGUACUGGUGCUACCAACCAGAGGAGUUACAUCUUUAGCUCCAGUGGCAACAGCCAAUGCUUUUAGUGCUGCAAGUCCUAGAUUCAUCCCUGCGGGACAUCAGCUGUUACAUAAACAGGGCCUGUACGGGAUUAAAACUUUUACUGAUUCACGAUCUGGGAUUUGCUGUAAUCAGCACUGAAUCACGGCAAGAAAAGCGUAGCCAAACCAAAGAACCAAUGGCAGUUUCAACCCCAAGGCUUGCGAACCAUGGGCUGGGAAGUGACGCUUCCUAGAGGUGUGAAGAAUCUGCUUCCCUCUGCCCCAAAAGAAACCUGAGCAAUGGCUUUGAAGCAAAGCUUGAAACAGCCCCCAUUGGCCUGACUUGAGCCAUUGGAUCUGAUAAUCAAGUGUUGCUGCGUUGGCCAGGAAACACAGGCUCAGUCUCUGAAAGUGAUGGUCUUUAUUUAUCCAACUUUUCUACCACAUCUUUCCCCAUAAGAUCUGAGCACCUGCUUUACCUACUAGGGAACAUGAAGUGUAUGCUGCCCAGAGAUUUACUUGUGGCUACUUAACUGAGCUGAAUCUUGGACAGAAACAGAUGUUCUUUCAGAAGCUCUUCCAAGCCUGAGGAGCAUUGCAGCGCUUGUUUGGGUUAGCAGCAUCCCAAUUCAGAAUCACAUCCACUCAAAACCCUGUUACGCACAACUGCAAAACAGAGUUACUUGCGAGUCAGUGUGAGCCAAACACCUGGCAAGCCCAGAAGACACUGACUCCACCACUUCGGUGGGGACAGGCAUGGGGUUAGUGCAGUCACCAUUUUAUUGCUGGCAAAAAAUUAUGAUAAGAUGCUAAGAUGAAACAACUUUUCUCUUUGCCCUCAAGGAAAAGAUAUCCCUCAAAGGAGCAGCAAGAUGUGAUCUGACUGACUUCCAUCAAGACAUGUGGAAUACCAGGAGAUGUCUCAGGCUAACAGAAUGCAGGGUUGUCACAUCAGGCUUGCCAGCAGCUCAGCCUCCUCCCUCCAGCCCUCCGUGCCCUGCCAGACCAGCUGGGGAAUACAACAUUGCAACAUUUCGGUCAGACACAAGAAGGCAUCUCCCUUUAACGCAACUUCACAUAUGCCGGUGGUCAGCAGUUUGUCCCGCUCACCCCACCACAACUCCUUUCCUAGGCACGUCACAUGCAGCGGACAUGUUCUUCCUUCCCUUCCCCGCUGGGAUGCUCAGUCUGAACUGCUGGGGCUUGUGUCUUCUGCAUGAGUUUCCCGGGUUCACCCCUUCCUGACGAGUGUGCUGACAGCUGUUAUGCUUGCUGGUGCUUUUUUGCUCCCUCGCUGAUCAGAGCUCUCAGCCACAAAGUGCAGAACUCGUAAAUUAAUUGGAUGGCUCAAGGAAAAGUCCCAUGACCUCAAAUUUAGCCUGCAGCAUGGCAAACCUUAUCAAGUCCAGAAAUAGGGAGGUCUGGAGAGACCACAUUUGCCAGUGGAUACACGUACCUUUCCAUGCCAGGCCAAGGACUGUGGGUCUCCCUUCGUGCUGUCCCACAAGUCCUCAUCCAUGAGACUAUGCACACAAUAUCAUACAUGUUUAGUGCCUACUUGGCUCCAUCCAGAGCCACAGCACAGAGGUGAACUGUUUCUCCAAGAACUGUUUCUUGGAGAAACAGUUCACCUGUCAGGACCCCAUCCGCACGCGGGAGCAGGCUCAAACACAGGCAUGGUGUCAGGGAGCUACUCGCAGCUGCCAGCCCCAGGGCUGCCGAUGUCCCAAGGAGCCUGCACCCCUCAGCUAGCAGGGAAGAAGAGCCAUGCCAGCCAUCCUGCGUCCUGGAGGGCAAAGGCCUUCUCCCCCAUCCCAGGCGUAGUUGUGCAGAAAGGGGCUUGCAGAAUCAGAGAGUGAAAGACCCAGUGACAUGAGCCAACCCUUUCCUGGAUCUCAGCACUUUCCUUUGCACUGCACUGAUUUCCAGGGCACACACGGGGCAAGUGCCAAGUGACACCCCAUGGACACCUCCCUCUGCAGCACGGACACUCGCCAAGCUCCAGCCCUUUCAUUAGUGUCUCCUCAGUGUGACUGCAGCUCUGCAAGUGAUUCAUUCAGACAUUCGGGUACAUGUCCUCUAUGUUGUUUCAAUGCUGAACAGUCUGUGUUGCAGAUUGGAAACUGAGGGGAGUUGAGGCCAGCUCACACAAAGCAGUGAGAAAUGUUUUUUCCCUACUCUUUCCCCGGGAAAAUAUGGAAGAGGGAUAUGAUGGGUUUGGACCUAGAGAAAAGACGAAUCUUCCUUUUUCACCCUGACCUGUUUUAGGCAGGAGUUCAUUAAUAUCUUAAUACCCCAUGCAUUUGGCUUUUAUGCAAAUGACUGGUACUCACUUGAUCUUUGUGCAAAAUUAUUAGCCGUGUGGGUGUUCACACGCUGUGAUUGUGUUUCAGAGGAUAAGCCUCCCAGACUGAUCCAGGCAGAGCCAGCACUCCAGACUGCACCAGUACCACCCAUAACCUUCCCUUCGGUUCACGUUGGAAGGUGAACCUGCCUGGACAAGCUAAAGGUGUUCUACUUUCGUUCUUAAAAACUUCCAGAAGUAUCCAUGAUUUUUCAAGACAUGCCUUUUAGUUUGCUUUUAUAUUUUUAGGUUUUGAUCAUUUAGCUGUAUUUCUGCAGCAUUUCUGCUUGUCAGAUUUCUUGUUCGAGUGCAGAAGUAAAAGAGGUGCAAUACUGCACAAUGUCAGACAGGUUAAA